CUGAUACUGUUCACUUUUAACGUUAAGGACAUUUUUAUCUUGAAAAGUCACUCCUAGUACUAUUCGCUUACACCUUUAUUUUAUCAUUUUCAUUAAACAUAAAGUUUUUUUAGAACUUUUCAUUAGUUUUCCUAAAAAUUAUAGUAUGAUUUUCAAGUCCGGUUCCCGUGUUUGUAGCAUCACCAAGUAUUUACUCCUCCAUACGUAUGAUAAUGAUACUUUACAUUUAAGGACAGAGAAGGACUCUCUCCUUUGCUCCCAUCUCGUGUCGUGUUGAGAACAAUAAAACGGCUCGUGUUAGAAACACAAGUCGUUAUCCCAACAAGUGAAGUCUUUUCGGAAUUUCCAACCAACGAAAAGAAUGUAGUGUAAAUUAGUAGCACGGGGCAAAAAUUGAGACCAAAAUGCAGACAUUCCCAAGUAAAGAUUCAGCUUUCCACCUGGUUUGGUGAGUUCCAACAUUUUCUAUACAUGACGAAGCAAUUAGUGCGGCUAAAGCAGAGGAACUGGAUCCUCUCCUGAGCUCAGGAUGGCGAUCCUUAUGAGCAGCUUAUCCGAGCUAUUCAAACUUGAUCCAACAGCUGCAAUUAUUAUAACUUUUAAAAGGACCUCAAAUUUGAGAUAUACGAAAUUCAAACUUGAGAUAUAUCCACAACUUCAAACUUGAGAUAUACGAAAUUCAAACUUGAGAUAUACAUCCAAGACUUCAAACUUGAGAUAUACGAAAUUCAAGUCCUAAUAUACAAUCAGCAAGUCAACCCAAAAGUUUUCAUUAACAUUUUGGUCAAACGAAAUUCUAAGUCCUAACAUACAAUCAGCAAGUCAACCCAAAAGUUUUCAUUAACAUUUUGGUCAAACAUUCGGGAGGAAAAUAAGGGAAUCUGCUUUGUCAUCGGAGAUAAAUCCCUAUGUAUCUACAACACUCAUCAAAUAAUCUGUAAGCAUAAGAAGAUAUAUAUUUCUGCCACUACGAAAAAAAUGAGCACUGCACACAAUAAAUUAUAUGUGCCCUUUGAGGCCAAAAAGCCUCAACAUUUGUGCUCAUAAACCAAUAGCAACAGUGCAUCAACUAAGUUUAUAUAUGUGCCCUCUAUGGGCGUCACCGUCGCUAAAAGGGCACAAUAGACUGUUUGGUGCUCAAAGAGGCAGGCACAAAUAAAGGCCUUUUUGUGUCUAUGUUAUGACAAACUUGUCAGAUGACCUUCUCCAUCCAUGUUUGCACUAUUUUUGUUAUUGUGCCCAGUAGGUUCUAUUUAAAAAAAAAUAGAAAUGUAAAAUUUUGAAAUAAAACCAAAAAUUUAAAAUUUUCAUAAAAUCCAAGAUGACAGUCUCGGUUGUAAAAAGCAAUCCAAUAGUUAAAAUGGAAUGUCUAUAAUGAAACUACAGAAAUUUUCCUCAUAAAGAACAUGUUUACAAGUGUUCAAGAUAAAAGACCAACAAAAUAAUGAGACUCUCCUAUCAAUGUAUCCAUGCAUUCCUACAUAUAGCCACCCAUAACUGAUUUUACCCUUUUUCCCAGCUCGGUGGAUUAUGCAAUCACCUUCCUGAAAUCCAAACCAAAGGAAAAAUGAAAAAGGGAAAGGAUCACAUAUUUCCAAUGAUAUUUCCAGUGAUUUUUAACUACCCAAACAUCCAAUCAACAUUGAGAAUUCAUUAGCUUUACACAUAUUUGAUAACAAUAAGAGUUUCAUUUUCUCCGACAAAAAAGAGAACAUUUUACGAUUGGUAAAACUAAAUGUCCAAUGUACCUUAACAAGACAAGGAAGCAAAUCCAUAUCAACACUGUGAACCAUAAUUGUAGAAGGAAGUUCAUCCUCUUCCUGGAAAAGAAAGAAAUUUAGUAAAUAUAAGUUUCAUAAAAAAUAAAAAAAUAGUUAUUUUAUAUAUAAUAAGAGCAAAACUUUAAUAGGACCUCUAAUAAAGUUGUAUAUAUUUCAAGCAAAUAAAAACCAAACUUAUUAAUGUAUGGUACAUUAACCACUUACAAAGAUGAGAAAUAGCACGAAGGUAAAGUACACCUUUACAACACAAUAUAUUCCCAUCAAUCCUGUAAAAAUAUGUAUAAUCCAAAAUAAAACAUUAUAUACAAAUAACAAGUCAUAAAAAAAUAAUAAAUUGAAAAAACUUCUAUAAUAAUAGAAGCAAAAUUUUCAUCAAAUGGAUGAAGGCAAGGGCCAUGUCUUUCUGAUCCAACGGACAAAGUCGAGCAAACUAGAAAACAAGAAGAAAAAAGUGUGAUGUUUAGGGGAACAAACAUUGAUAUUUGAAUCUAAAAAUGCCUCUACUAAACUGCGAUUUACCACUUCUAAAUCUACUACAAAUUUGUACUCCUAAAUCACAAUCAAUUAGUAAGGCACACGAAAAUUCAGGGCAUACAGAUAAUCAAGUUUGGGAGGAAUCACGUGAGUCACAAAAUUGAAAUAGACUGAGGUUUUUUUAAUUAUUCAGUGCAGGGAGCCGGUUUUAUACCUUCACAACCUCGUGUUCAACAUACAUAGUCAAAAUCUUUCAUAAGAACGCUAAAUCAAGAAACGGGUAGGAGUUUUACUUUAGUCACUUUAUAGCUCAAAUAGAAUCCUAAUGGUGAUGGUGUAGAUUAUUAUAGUCACCUGAAAGUCAACUAAAGCCUAAAGAUUCCCGUACACAUAUACAGCUCAUAACUAUCUUCAGAUUGUGUGUGCAUGUCAAAUCAAGAAACGGGGAGAGUUGCAACAUUAUUCAAUAGUUCAAGCAGUUUGUCAACAAACUAACCUUUUAUUACUAACAUUGUACCCAUCACCUUGUAUCUUUUAUGAGCAUCUGCAAUGACAAACAAGAAGAAGCAAUAAAAGGAAUUAACUUUUCGAAAUCUUAUCUAUAAUUCCAAGCAAUAAUCACAAAUAAUUUUCAUUAAAUUCUAGAAAUGAAUUGUAUAGUGGUACAACUAACAACUACUAUCUUUUGACAUGUCACAACAGGCCACAUUGCAAUCAAAAUUUAGGUCCAGUGACAUCAAUGGCACUCUAGAUUAGAAUUUCAUUAACCUUCAAUGUUUAUCGUGUUUGAACUCCAAUCCAAAUCAAUUGUGACUAUGUGUUCGAUAUAUGCAAAUGGAUUUGAGUAUCUAAAAGGGAUUAAAGGCAACUGCAGAAGAAGAUGGGAUGGUGCUUAGACAACUACACAUGCUUAGAAACAGAGAGUUAUUCUUCCUACUAUCAAGUCAACAAAAUUUGAAACAUCAAUUUGUUGCUUUCCUAAUUUUAUUAUGCCAAUGCAAAAUGCAAUGCCAAUUAAUAUGCAGUAAGCUGUGUUUAAGGUUCAAUAGUUCUUUACCGAAGAAAAAUGCGAAACUCGCCAGGGCCUAGCUCUUCCCAUAAUCAAAGCAAAGAUUAAGAAAUAAUUAGAUGAAAUUAAAACCCAUAACCUUAUGUAUUCCACACACAAAAGUAAUAGAAGAAAAAAACACAGCAGACAUGCAGAGCUAUAAACAAUCAACCUAAACAAAAUUAAGAACCAAAAAGAUGAGUGAAUUGUUUCCGCACCUCAGAAUCGCUUUGACUUUGUAAAAUUUGGAGUCUGGGACAUAACCUACGAGCAACCAACAAUGUGGAGUUAGAAGCCAUGCCAAAAUUUAAAAUUUAAAAACCAAGACACUCAAAUCAUAAUUUGAAUGGAAUAUGCAAUAACAUUGAAAACCCAUGAACUAUUUUUCCAGACAAUGGGAAGAAGACAAACCAGAAGAACUCUGCGCUCGUACGACCGGAACAAUGGACACAUUUAUUGCAUGCUUUAGAGCGAUAUUAGGCUGACAGAACCGAAAUUUUACGAGCUUGGUGCGAAUCGAGGUCGAACCCAAAAGCGGAAGCUUGUUGAGGUGGUAAUGAAGGUGCGGUUGACUCUGAAUUCGAAGGCUUCCACGACGGCGACGAAAUAUUGAUGAGGACCACGACUCCUCACUCCCUCUCCGACUCGCACCUGCCCUUCCCUCACCAACACCUCUUAACCCAACGAACCUCCCUUCCAUGAUCCCUCUCUAUCGAACUUGGAUCCCAACGUGAUUCCCGAUUCAAGCUCUACAUCCAUUAAUCUUCCCAAACCCGACCCACCCCGUCCCUUGAUCUCUCCCUACCAAACCCUAAUCUUCCCAAACCUUCCUCCAUUGCAGGGGUUUCUGCUAAGGGAUUCUAGCGAUGAUGGAGCUCAAGAGCCUCCACGAUUUGUCUAGAGAAGGUAGAGAGAGAAAGAGGGGUUGGAAAGAGAGAGAGAGAAACAGACAAAGGUGAGAGAAAGAAUCUAAAUGAGGCAGAGCGGGAGAGGAAAGAAAAAGGAAAGAGAUAGACGGGACCCGAGACAGAAUUAGGGUAGAAUUUUAAUUAUUAUUAUUAUAAGAGUUAGUGGGCACAAUUGUGUAAUGCGGUGGUGGAAACUCAAGUUUUUGAAUUUGGGGGUGGGAAAUCCAAACUUGCACCAUAAAAUAGAGGGAGAAGUCUAAUUUGGAGAAGGGGAAACUUAAUAUAAAUCCAAUUUUAUAAGCUUGUCACUCCUCGAUCCCAACAUAUGUCUCAAAUCGACACGUGACGUCAUCAAAUAUUCGUACGUCUAUCAUACCCCGUCUCCGGGAUAUGGCAAAGCACAACUCGAGCAUCGAUUCGCAUAGUUUUUUUUUUCUUCCCGAUUUCUAAUUGGUUGCUUAACCCCACCCCCCCCCCCAAUUUAUGAUUGGUCCUCCACCAUUUAACUUAUUGGUUCCUUCCCUUUGGCCUGAAUGGCCUCUUCCCACAAGGUAUAUUCCUUUAAAUUUAUAGUUUAGUGAAACGACUUCAAAUGUCCGUAACUAUACCGUUAUAAUCCAGACUCGCGUUUGUGGUCUUGAGAUCUAUUUGAAAACAUCAAUUGUGAACUCGAAAGGUCAACGAAUUUUAAAGAUUGAUUACGAAAAUUCAAACCGAUAGUUAUUCGAUUGAAUUCCAAAAAUCAACGGAAUUAAAAUUAACUAAUGAAAAUAACGUAAACAUGAAAUACAAAUUUAAAUAAUGAGAUAUGUAAUUAAUAGUGAAAUUUCGGGGACAGGAUUUCACAAAGCCAUUAUUAGUUAUAGUCCAAUUUUGUUUUAAUUUUGAAGUUCUAUCGAAGGUUAAUUGUGUUUAGCAUGAUAAAAGGCUUGUGUGUUAGGCUUGCGUUGUUCUUUUCUUUUUUUUUUCUUUUUUCUUUUCUUUUUUCUUUUCUGUAUGAACCAUAUGGGAAACAUAAUUAUAAACCAAAAAACAUACAAUGUUGGGAGUAUCUAUAUCAUGGGCCAAUUAGAAAGAAAACAUUAUUAUAUUGUAAUACUACAUAAGUUAACAAAAGGACCCAAGAGGUGUCCAGCAUAGCAUAAGAUAAUUAUAUUUUCACACACCAGUGAAAUAUAACGUAAUACAAAAUAUAUUAAUUGUCCUCGUCAUCCCUACUUAAAAUCUUAACGGUAACAUUCUGCAUAUUUCGUGAGCUCAUCUGUGGGAGAGACAGGCCUCUAGGAUGAAUUUGUGCUUGAUAAGUGCAUGGUUCUUCAAUAAUAACGACAUAACUAAUAGACUCUUCAGUUGUUGUUUCAACAGAAACCAAAUUGACAGGGUAUUGUUCUGUCCUACCUGGGUUUGCCCAUGUUGGCAAUACACGUCCUUGAGGUGCGCAUACGCAUCUGUUAUUGGAGGGUAAUGGGUAGCCAAGGUGACCAUCAGCAACAGUAGUAAGAAUGUAUUGAUUAUCAAUAGCACGAGGUAUGCGCCCGACAUUACCAGGUUGUCGUGGACGUUGAGCUGGAGGUUUGUUAUGGAAUUUGCUGUUGUAAUGUUGGAAGCAAUAGAAGAAUGUGAUGCUAAAGAUUCGGUUCCAAUUCUAACUCCAUGUCCGCCAUUCUCAAUGAUGUAGAACUUGAUCAAAUUCAAAAGAAACACAAGUGUAUAAAGCAACCUUCUAAAUUUCCAUAUACAAAUUAGUAAGGGAGUGUAGACGUUUUAUACUAGAAUAAAGGCACAAAUCCAUAAUUGUGCCAACAUAUUCUUUUGCUAUAGAGUGAUUUAUUAUUUAUUAAUAUUUACUAGACACAAUUUCUAACAUUUGUGUAAGAAAAAGGAAUUUAUAAUUAUUAAGAUAUAUUCUCUAUUUGAAGACCCAAUGAGAAGUAGAGUGAUUUAUUAUUUAUUAAUAUUUAGUGGACAGAAUUUCUAUCAUUAGUGUCAUAAAAAGGAAUCUACAAUUAUUAACUCAUUUGUCUAUCUGAAGACCAACUCACUUUUGCACAUAGACUGACCCUAAGGGCACAAUUGUUGGUUAUGUGUCACUGCAGGUAGGACUUUUAAUACAGUAAAAAAAUAAACACUUACUAUAAAACCAAAAACCAUAUCACCAAGUAUAAAAAACAAACCUGCAUGAAGAUAACAAUCUAAAAAGCAGUUCAAAAAGAUACGAAUCUAACAAACAUUCAUUGCACCUGGAAAUGAUCCUUUGAAAAUGUAAAACAUGCCACUUAGUACUACGGUGUAGUGGUAUUCUUCUUUACUUAUAAGUGAGAGAUCUGAGGUUCGGCUUUCGCAAAAAAACGAAUUUAAACAACAUUAUUGCUAACUUAUUUUGAGGCUAAAAUAUUGCACAAUAAUAAACAGCUCCAUACCAUUAUUUACCACACUUUUAUAAAUUCUAAUUAUUGGUGUGCUAGAGGAGGUAAAGACAAACGAGAGAGAACAUAGAGUGCCUCUAACAAUAAUUUUUAUAGACACAAAAUGUUUUUUGUGCCCAUUUUCAGUAAAAAAGUUGUCAUUUGACCCCACUCAGCACGAUUUCCGUGCCCAUUACUGUUUUGUGUCUGCUUUUUUUUAACAUUGGGCACAAUAGAUGGUGCCUUCUAUGGAAUUGGAACUGUUUAAGCUUUUUGGUGGUCAAAUUGACACAAAAUUCUCAAUUGUGCGCUUUGUUUUGCACCCAAAGCUCAUUUUUCUUGUAGUGUGCAACACUAUCUUGGUUGUAGGUCUCGAAGUGAAGGUAUUGCGAAGUCCAUAGUAAGUGCAAAGAAACAUAUAUUGUGGGUUUGGUUUUGAUUUCUUUGUGACCCAAAAUGCAUGCCAAUUAAAUAGAGAACUUUCUUUGCAAGACUCGUGCUAAUACAUGUAAGAAGAGAUGCCAACCUAAGAAAUUUGAAAGUUUUACUUUGAAUUCUACUAUCAUAGACGAAAAAACUCGUUUCUUCUGUUCUCACCAUUCAAUUUUUAAUGUUUUCCACAAAAGAAAAAGGUUGAAAGUCAUGCAGAUUGGUGCAUAUAAAUACACACGUGUCUAACCUCCGCAUAAUACAUCCUUCAUAAUUAAGCUAGCUAUCUUUGUUUAAUAUCCUUAAGUACAAGAUUAAUAGAUCACCAUGAGGUUUCUUAAUUGUUUAUUCGCAGUUAUAACAGUUGUAUUUCUCAUGAGUAUGGACCUGCAUGUGGUUAGUGCAGGCAGGAUGUUGCAUGAUGAGAAAGAAAACUUGAAGACGAUAACAACGGUGAACAAAAACAUCGUGUUGAUGGAUUCGAAGCAGAGGGGCGAUCCUCCUCCCCCUGGAUCUAAUCCGACGACCCCUAGGUCUGCUGAUCUUGCCGAUACAACCAUCAACCAAAGGAACAUUGCAGGCCACACUACUCCUACUCCGCCUCCUCCACACCAUGCAUACCCUAAUAAUGCCGUGGCUAGAUCACUACUCGGCGUGGCUACAGAUCGUUAAUCAUUUAUUUGAAUGAUUAACAAUAACUACAGAAAUUCCAACCUAAUAAGAUACAUCAAAUUAUGUGAUAUAAUAUAGUGUUUAUUGUGCAGAAUAAGUAAACGGGAAAAAACCUAUAUAAUGUGAUAUAAUAUAGUUUUUACUGUGCAGAAUAAGUAGAGGGGAAAAACCCUAGUUGCCUUUGUAUUGCUUGCAGCACACUCUACUUGAAUAAAAAAUAGACGAAUUCUCUUACAAAUAUCUUAUUUUCUUCUUUAUGCAGUAUGAGAGUUGAGACGAAUAGAAUGUAAUAAGACGUUUUAUUCAACCACCAUGAGAUGAUUCAAAGAACAAUUUAAAAUGUUAUCUUUGAAAGUCAAACAUAAGCAUUAUAGUAACAAAAACGUCAUCAAAAGAUGCGCUGCCUGAACACUAUUAUGGGUAGACCUAGCAUUUUGGACCCAACCCGUUAACCCAACCGACCCAAUCCAUUAAUAUUAGUAUUUGGAUGGAUGCUUAAAGGGUCGGGUCACUAAUGGGUGAACCAGUUAACAACCCGUUAAAUAACGGAUGACUUUAGGUCAACUCGUUCGAUCCGUUAGCACCCUUUAUAAAUUAUAACCACACCUUAUCUUUUUCCUAUUUUCCUAUCUUUUUUUUUAUCAUCGAUAAAGAAUCUAUUGCUUCAUUGAUUCAUUCAUUUGAUUAGUUCAUGGCAAUAUCUCUGCAAGCAUAUCGCCCAAGCUCUCCGACCCAACCCUCCUCUGUUCCCUCCACCAUCUCUCCCAAGAAAUCUCCUCCCUCGAGCCGCUCCCGUUCCUCCUGCGCCGCACCUCCCGCUCCGUGAUUCGCAGGUCAACCCUACUCUCCAUCCUCUUCGAAGACAUCAUCCGCAGCUCCACCGCCGCCUUCUCCCACUCCGCCGUCCUCUGCUUUCAGGAGCUCUACAUCCUGCUCCAGAGGAUUCAGACCCUUCUUGAAGACUCCUCCAACGGCAACCGGAUGUGGCUUUUCCUCCAGAUUGAGUCUCUUGCGAACAGCUUCGACGAGCUCACCAUCAACCUCUCCACCUUAAGGAAGAGUUCCAGAACCAAAUGGAGGAGAAAUCCAAGUCGCAGCUCCUUGUCUGUUUACUAUAUAUCCAAGUUAAUACCUUUUUUACUGUCAACACCCUUUUGUACAUCCUUGCAGUUAAUAUGUGUAAUUGUAUUGGAAUGCAAAAAAAAAAAAAUUGUUAACGGGUGACCUACUAGAUUAACGGGUCGAGUUCAAGUGACCUGAUAGCUUAACGGGUAGGAUUAAACCUAACUCAAACCCGAUAAACCCAACCCGUUUAUAGGUCUAAUCAUGGGGCAAAACAAAGAAAUAUACCCACACAAAAAAACACAUACAAGCGUUUACAACCAUAUCUCCUAAUAUUGAAAUCUUCUAAUCAGUCGUGGAAAUGUCAAGUUAUACUGGUACACUAAUGCAGUGUGCCUCGUUAAAUAACCAUCGCAUCAAAAAACAUGUAACACUUUGCCCACCUCUCAUCUGCAUCCUACACUGAAAUCCGAUGGAGUCCAUCACAAUCAUUUAACCUCCCCGCGUCCGCCAUAGGCAAAUAACAAGAUUCUCAAUACUCUUUUAAAAGUUUGUUGUGAUAAGGAAACUUUGUGCAAAUGUAGAAUGCAGUAACAACAUUCCGGUGAUUGAUCUAGGUGGAGCCGAAUGCGGUGGUCAUACCUGUAUAACUGAGCAGAUACUCAAAGCUAGUCAAGAAUUCGGUAUAUUUUUUUUUCUUUUUCAGGUAACUUAUCGACUAUCGAGACUUCAAAUUCUUUCCUUCAUUUUUUUUUAAUGUCUCAAGAAAGUUGAGGUUCCUCAAUAAAUCAAUUGGUAAUAUAGAGAGUAACCCACCUCUUAUAAGCUCAUGCAAGGUCUCUCCUCCUAUCAAUGUGAAAUUCUUUCUCAACAUGCCCCCUUACGUGCGGUGACUUUCAAGCCAAACAUGUGGACACCACAAACGGGGUUACGUGGAGCAUGUAUGGCCGUUAGACUUCACAUGUGAGACAACCUGCUCUUAUACCGUGAAGAAAGUUGGAGUUCCACCAUAAAACCAAUUGGCAAUAUGAGAAGUACUCCAACCUCUUAUUUGCCUAUUCAAGUGUCUUUCCCCCAUCAAUAAGAAAUUCUUUCUCAACAAUGUCGAGCAUCGCCUUGCCGGCCUUGGAUCACAAUCAAGGUAUUGUUUAUUUCUUCUAUUUAAUUACAAGAUUGUAUGCAUUAUGUGAGCCUUUAUUAAGCCAAUUGAUACACAUAAAGAAUUAUCUUUAUUCCAGAUUGAUAUAAAAAAUUUGGAAUAUAUGGAUGGUUGACUUUAAAUCAUAGGCAAGUUCGAAAGCAAUUUCUCAGCUUUAUAUGUGCACUAGUUUUGACAUGCCCUGAUCCCGAUGUCCCACAUACAUUGGGA
Molecule: long non-coding RNA, 10148 nt
Filed under: Malus domestica (apple)
Lineage: Eukaryota; Viridiplantae; Streptophyta; Magnoliopsida; Rosales; Rosaceae
Description: long non-coding RNA (MDOM_LNC009509)
Source: RNAcentral